Molecule: long non-coding RNA, 719 nt
Organism: Panicum virgatum (switchgrass)
Lineage: Eukaryota; Viridiplantae; Streptophyta; Magnoliopsida; Poales; Poaceae
Exons: 2
Source: RefSeq, a predicted model, not a curated record
CUCCCUCACUCCGUUCGCCGUCGGUCCUCUUGCAGCUUGCCACCCGGCUGCCUGCCCAUGCCGUCGUCUGCUCGCUCGUCCUUGCGUCGUCCCCAUCCUUAUCCCAAGCCGGCCGCCUGCUCUCUUCCUCGUCUCCCUGGCUCUGCCCCUUUUCUUCUUCCUAUAGCUCCCACUGACCGAGCUCGAGCAGCUCAAUGUCAGCCGGCCAAAUCCGUCGGCCACACCUCCUCCCUCUCCGAUUCCGCGCGCCCAAGCCUUCCCCACCCCUUCCUCUCCUCCUUGCUCGCCUAUGAAGGCAGCUCCGGCCACCGAUGUGGCUGGAGUUCCACAUCUCGUGGCCGCUGGGCACCUCAUGGCAGCUGCCAGUCACCUUGCUGGUGAACUCUAUCUUCCCGGCCACCAGGGGUACCACUACCAAUGCCUGUGUAUCUAGCACUCCGGUCCCUGCAGCACAAGAUGCUCCUACACGGUGGCUCCUCCAUGUGCUGGUGCUCCUUCCCAGCACUUCAGUAGGCAACAGAGACCGUGUAUCUGACGUCGUAGUGGACACUCUGGAGCAGCAGGGAUCCCAGGACCGGCAGGGGAAGGAGUAACAAGGCCAACCCAAGGCUGGAAAAGCUGGCCCAAGGCCUUGAUAGCAUUAACACUGACUUAGUGUUAACUCUAGGCAAGCCCCGGAGCAUAACCCUUAAUUUCAGUAUUCGAUGUUUAUUAUAUAA